Brassica napus (rape) is the source of this 1503-nucleotide long non-coding RNA. RefSeq lists it as uncharacterized. The record is from RefSeq and is a predicted model, not a curated record. The transcript is spliced from 5 exons. Lineage: Eukaryota; Viridiplantae; Streptophyta; Magnoliopsida; Brassicales; Brassicaceae.
UUUGUAUAAAUAUAUAUGUAUAUAAUAUUCAAACUACAAUAAAAAUAGAAAAUAUUUAGAACAGAAAUGUGGUUAUUUGUCAUUGUAGGUUAGUAUUGUAUUUUAGUUAAUGUCAUUAAGAAAGCUGCCUCCACGAACUUAAACGGCUCUUGUAAUUUACAAAAGGAUACUAAAUAUUAUGAAUAAAUGGUAGUAUAUCCUAAGAUGUAAAUGAAAAUACGAAACCGUAAGAUGUUUUUAUUUUUCAUAAGGAAAGAAAAACUAUUAAAAAUGAUGUGGCAACCAAGAGAUGAUGUUAAUCAGCUCGGCUUGAAUAAUUCGGCUGAGAGGACAAGUGCGAAAUUUUUGGCAGCACGUGUUGACUGACGAGCAGACACGCACGGGAUUUUUAUCUCCUCAACCGCACUUCCCAUAUUUCUGUCCGAAAUUUAGAUGGUUAGUUGUGAUCCCUAGCCUGUGCUGACGUGGAAGCUUCUGGUUGGUACGUUUUAACAAACUCUAGUGCGCGCUGUUUUGGUCGGAGCCAAAUCGGGUUGGUUCCGUCCAAUUUGUCACGAGAAAGACUCAUUGUGUGGUCUCUGUUAAGGUUGUAGUCACCUAAUUAUAUUGCAAAGUCGUAAGAUUUCGUUUUCUAAUGUAGUACUAUUUACUUUUCUCGGUUGGGUCCAUUGGCCAUACUAAUUUCCGUGGUGAGGAGAGGAACUCGUAGUGCCUCAUCAAAGUCGGUUCCUAGUACAAAUUCGUUUACUAAAACUAUCAAAGUCAGCACCAAUCAUUUUCCGCCGCCAGGAAUGUUAAUGGGCUUUUAUCAAUUUUAAUGGGCUUCUUUUAUUGGGCUUGAUAGUUAUGAGAUUCUUCUCACAACGAUGCCGUUUUGUGCAGCGACGAACGGGUUUCUGCCAGAGAAAGAUAGUAAUUUUAAAUAUCUAAUCGAAUUAAUUUUCAUGCGAAUUUUUUCUUCGAUUUCGUCAUGUGCGUUAAUUCAUGAUUAUCAGAUAGUGUUUUGUUUAAAUUUUUGUUUUGGAAGGGAAACAAGACAGAGAUUGUGAUCUGCAGCUAUGAUGAUCAUAUCCUUGUCAUAGCAACACAGAUUGGAGCCAUGGGGACUAUAUUGCACGCAAGGAAGGAAGAAGGGAUGUCUGUUGAACCAACAUUUAUAUAGAAUCCACGUUUAUAUAGAAUCUACGCCUUACUUAUGCCCACUAUAUUCUUAAGCCAAUGCUGGUAGCAACUGCUCGAAGACUCAUUGAUCACAUAAGUUCUCAUGUUCCCUCGAAGCCUUUGAUUCUCUCGCUUGGUCUCAAUGAUCAUUCUUCGGAGACAUUGAAGGAAAUAGAAGCAGCUGUGAUCGAUAAUCGCCUAUGGUAAUUUGAUAAUGAAAAGAUGUUUUAUGUGUUUGGUUGAUGUAACUAGUAAGUUGUGGUAAUUUGUUUCUAUAAGUUCGGUAAUUCAACGAUAUCAAAGACCUUGCUUCUAGUAAAAAGGUUGCCAAUUUUCCUCUCU